Long non-coding RNA from Haemorhous mexicanus (house finch), 1822 nucleotides. RefSeq lists it as uncharacterized. The record is from RefSeq and is a predicted model, not a curated record. NCBI's taxonomy places the organism in Eukaryota, Metazoa, Chordata, Aves, Passeriformes, Fringillidae. The transcript has 2 exons.
UAUAAAUUCACAACAUGGUAUAGCUGACUUUCAUCCAUUACUUAAAACUUCUUUGAUCUAUAUAAUACAGUUGCAACUUAUUAUAUUAGCAACUAAAGGAGCAACUUCAGAUGCAACCUUAGAGGUGAAAUGUCCUGUUUCUCUCAACAUCCCCAGCCUGAUUUGUGGUUCUAACAGUUGAAAGUUACUUCAGAAUACCUGCCAAGCACAUUUCACUGCUUGUCCCUUUGAAACUGAGUGCAAUGAAGAGAACAUGUACCAGGCAGACAAUAUUCUCAGACUGGAAUAAGCCCUGUGUCCUUGAAUGUUAUAUAUGGGUCAACCACCAGCAUCUUCCAAGAGGAUUGCAGUGCCAUGCUCCCUGAGAGAAGGCUGGCUGACAAAGAAGGAAAAUUGCAUAGGCUGAACAAGUGGAUACAACAUGAAUGGUGACGUUGGAUGAUGUAAAAUGGCGGCAUCACUGGAGCUCAUUGUAGUGAGUUAAAAUCCUGGAUGCACACACCCCGUGGGACAGUGGAGGAGAAGAGGAAGAAAAAGAACAAGAACAAGGAUGAGCAUUCCUCUAUCCUGACAGAUGACUUCAGUUUGCCCCCCUGAGAAGCCCCAGAGGAAGGCUGAGCAGUGGCAGCACUGUGCUCCAGAGAGCAAUGGCAGAAGGUGGCUGCAGUCAGAGCAGCUGGCAGCACUGGUGUCUGUGGGACAGCAUGGUUUCACUUUGCUCAGUAAAUCACUUUGAAAUUGCAGCUUAAGAUGCCCAACUCAUUUGUCAGAGCUAGGAGAGUUUGACACACAAGACUGGGCUGGGUGACUGGACAUCUAGGCUGUAAUUCCUGGUCCUUCAUCUUAAUGCCUUUGUCGGGCCAUUUCUGAGGAGAUUAUGUUCCUGGCUGAUUUUGACAACUGCUUUGACACCUGCAGAUGAAUAUGAUUAUUGAUUUCAGUGCCAACUCUGUUUUUCUAAAGAGUUAGCAAAAUAACCAGCAGGCAUAACUUAGUAGAGCCAAAAAAUUGGUGCAAUUUUGCUUCUGAAGGAAGCUAUUCUAUUCCAGAAUCUCUAAUAUGUUGUGUUCACUUGCUGUUUUGUUUUUUUUUUUUAAUUUCCUUUCCUAUCUUUCUUUUUUUUCCUUGGAUAGAAUGAACCUUAAUUAUGACUAUUUUACCUAUAAAACUGUCUGUACCUGCCAAAUAUUAAAAAGUUAGCAUGGAAAUUUUACCAAGGAUGAAAUCCUGACUUGGUAAUAGCUGAUAAAAAUCAGUGGAAAAAUAAUGGAUGAUUAAGUGGAAGAAAACCACAGAUGUAAUAUUUCAUCAUUGCUAAGAAGAGAAAUUUGACACAUUAGUGCCAGUUUGGAAGUUUUUCAAUAAAAUAUAUGAAUGCAGAAUAAGAAGAAUACAAUUAUAUUACCCUUGCAAUAUGUGGUUCAGUUUUUAAAAGGAUGAAAAUUUGCAGCACAAUUAUGAUGAGAAAUGUACUUCUUCUGGAGUGACCAAUAGCCCAGGGACGGAUCACUUCUGUGGGAUGGCCCUGCACUGCCUGAUUGAGACAGACACUUGGAGUGCAGGUUCACAGCUAAUACUUAGCCUGGCACAUGUGAUAUUAAAUGCCUAAGUAGCAUUGUGGCCUAGGCUUGUUUUCCAUGUGUCAGGUGAGUCCUUUUACCAUUGGAUGAGGCUGCUGUGGCCUGCAGCUUCUCUUUAAGCUUUUCAUUAGACAUCCGUUCUGGUACACAGCAAAACUAUUUAAAUAUGACCUCUUAGAAAUUUUAGGUGAUGGAAACCUUCUCCCAGAGAAGAAUAAAUAUAAAAGAUAGAUUUAGAACUG